This is a long non-coding RNA of Phragmites australis (common reed), 811 nucleotides long. RefSeq lists it as uncharacterized. The transcript has 5 exons. Lineage: Eukaryota; Viridiplantae; Streptophyta; Magnoliopsida; Poales; Poaceae. The record is from RefSeq and is a predicted model, not a curated record.
UACAAACUCAAUCAACACAUAUUUUCGAUUGCUGGCAGCAGAGGUGGGCAGGGAACCCGAGUGGCCGAGUCCAUCCUCCCACGACACUGAUGAGCUCGCCGCGACGCCGGAUGAAUCUUUGCUGCGAGCAAUCGAACCCACUUCUAUUUUCCUCCCCAACAGUUAGUAGCGGAUUUCUUUGCUUCGUGGCCGGAUACUAAUCUAAUCUACCGACCCCGCGGCUCUAGUUUGAUUCGAUUACGCUUUUCUUCUUUUUCAGCGCGCGCAAGAUCGAUGGAUUCGGGCAUCCAGUAUGCUGGCGCAGUUUAUUUCCAAAAAAAUGGGACCUUCAAGGAUAAAUCAUCUGCGCAGAAGCAACCUGGGGUUAAUUUUGGUCCGUCAAUAGCAAACCUGCCGGCCUGAUUUUUGGGGGAGGGCAUGGCUCCAGCAGAGAGCCCAGCGGAAGAGCUCCGGAGGCUGAAGAGAGCUGGGGACAACGAGCAAAAGAGUGACAGGCGCAAGCCACGACCUGAUGGAGAUGGCUUUUGUGCAAUAUGUGAUAAUGCUGGUGAUGUAACUUGCUGUGAUGGUGGGUGUUAGAGGUCUUUCCAUCUAGCCGAUGAAUACAGUGAAGAUUCUAAAUGCAGAUUAACCCUCGGUCUAACUAAAGAACAGGCAAAGAUGAUAAUUGAUAGUGAGGAAGGUUUUAUAUGCAAGAACUGCAAGUAUAAGCAACAUCAGUGUUUUCCUUGUGGGUUGUUGGGGUCUUCAGACUUGUCAUCAGGAGCCGAGGUAAGUAUAACAGAUAUGUUUAAUCAUGUUUCAUUGAGAC